Molecule: unclassified non-coding RNA, 380 nt
Filed under: Hevea brasiliensis (rubber tree)
Lineage: Eukaryota; Viridiplantae; Streptophyta; Magnoliopsida; Malpighiales; Euphorbiaceae
Source: RNAcentral
UUUUGGGAUAAAGGUUUAGUUUAGUUGAGUUGAGUAGAAUGAUUGCUAAAGUGAAUUUUAGCAUCCCAAGCAGCUAUAUGUCAAGUACGGUGGGGAUGUGCUGACAUUCAUUUGUUAAAAGUUCUGUGUGUUAGUUCUGUUCACAUAUAAAUCAGGGGGUGCUUUAAUAUUGGAGAAUGAGUACAGUAUAGUUGAUUUAUUAAAUAAGGGAGUUUGUAUUGUCUUUCAGAAGAAUUUUCAUGGUUAAACAACUAUGUGGAGAAUGAAUUGGUUUGGUACUUGCAGUCUAUUUGGGAUUUUCUGUUGAUUAAUAUUGCAGAAUCAUGUGUGACACUAACUGAUUGAGCUUCUGAGCAGUGCCUCGGAACUUCAGAUUGCUG